GAUGCCGCUAUAAAAUUAAGGGAUUAAGGGUAAAGAAAGUUAAACUGCGGCUUCGGAGGCCCUAUGUCCUCGAUUCUGUUACGGUCAAUUCGUUGCCUAUUGUGCAUAGCAAUCCGAUUGAGGAUAAUUAGAAGAAGAGGUGGG
Non-coding RNA from Caenorhabditis elegans, 144 nucleotides. Lineage: Eukaryota; Metazoa; Nematoda; Chromadorea; Rhabditida; Rhabditidae. The record is from Ensembl.